Molecule: ribosomal RNA, 497 nt
Filed under: uncultured bacterium
Lineage: Bacteria
Description: partial 16S ribosomal RNA
Rfam family: Bacterial small subunit ribosomal RNA
Source: RNAcentral
GACGAACGCUGGCGGCGUGCCUAAUACAUGCAAGUUGAGCGCUGAAGGUUGGUACUUGUACCAACUGGAUGAGCAGCGAACGGGUGAGUAACGCGUGGGGAAUCUGCCUUUGAGCGGGGGACAACAUUUGGAAACGAAUGCUAAUACCGCAUAAAAACUUUAAACACAAGUUUUAAGUUUGAAAGAUGCAAUUGCAUCACUCAAAGAUGAUCCCGCGUUGUAUUAGCUAGUUGGUGAGGUAAAGGCUCACCAAGGCGAUGAUACAUAGCCGACCUGAGAGGGUGGUCGGCCACAUUGGGACUGAGACACGGCCCAAACUCCUACGGGAGGCAGCAGUAGGGAAUCUUCGGCAAUGGACGAAAGUCUGACCGAGCAACGCCGCGUGAGUGAAGAAGGUUUUCGGAUCGUAAAACUCUGUUGGUAGGGAAGAACGUUGGUGAGAGUGGAAAGCUCAUCAAGUGACGGUAACUACCCAGAAAGGGACGGCUAACUACGUG